RNAcentral lists this ribosomal RNA (253 nucleotides) under uncultured bacterium. Its description in RNAcentral is "partial 16S ribosomal RNA". It matches the Rfam family "Bacterial small subunit ribosomal RNA", at positions 524 to 776 of the family's 1533-position model. The record is from RNAcentral.
UACGUAGGGUGCAAGCGUUGUCCGGAAUUAUUGGGCGUAAAGAGCUCGUAGGCGGUUUGUUGCGUCGGCUGUGAAAUCCCGAGGCUCAACCUCGGGUCUGCAGUCGAUACGAGCAAACUAGAGUGUUGCAGGGGAGACUGGAAUUCCUGGUGUAGCGGUGAAAUGCGCAGAUAUCUGGAGGAACACCGGUGGCGAAGGCGGCAUCCUGGACCGACACUGACGCUGAGGAGCGAAAGCCAGGGGAGCAAACGGG